RNAcentral lists this ribosomal RNA (355 nucleotides) under uncultured bacterium. Its description in RNAcentral is "partial 16S ribosomal RNA". It matches the Rfam family "Bacterial small subunit ribosomal RNA", at positions 338 to 690 of the family's 1533-position model. The record is from RNAcentral.
CCUACGGGAGGCUGCAGUGAGGAAUAUUGGUCAAUGGGCGAGAGCCUGAACCAGCCAAGUAGCGUGAAGGAUGACGGCCCUACGGGUUGUAAACUUCUUUUGUCAGGGAGCAAUUGGGUCCACGUGUGGGCUUAGCGAGAGUACCUGAAGAAAAAGCACCGGCUAACUCGGUGCCAGCAGCCGCGGUAAUACGGAGGAUGCGAGCGUUAACCGGAUUUUUUGGGUUUAAGGGGUGCGUAGGCGGACUAUAAAGUGAGCGGUAAAAAUUCGGGGCUCACCCCCGUCGUUCCGUUGAAACUGAUGUUCUUGAGUGGGCGAGAGGUAUGCGGAAGGCGUGGUGUGGCGGUGAAGUGCA